Odocoileus virginianus texanus is the source of this 908-nucleotide non-coding RNA. NCBI's taxonomy places the organism in Eukaryota, Metazoa, Chordata, Mammalia, Artiodactyla, Cervidae. The record is from RefSeq and is a predicted model, not a curated record.
ACUGAACUCCGAGCCUUAGCCUCUCGUAUUGUUGUCUCUGCCUUCAGUGUGGGAGCUGUGGGCAGAGACCCUCAAACUCUCAAGGAGCCAGCACAUGGAGCACAUUUGGUCAAAGUGAAGAGGAUCCACCGUUCACAAAUGAUAAUUAUUCCCCAGUAACUGGCAUAUUCUACUUAGACGAAACUUGCAUCCGUUUUCUUAGUUUCCCAGAGGCUACCAUUUAAAGCCAGGCAUUUCACUUGCAGUAAAAUGAGAGCUGUGUUGCAAUUUAUUAAAAGGGAAGACAGACAGCAUCAACCUACUAAAAGGUCAGAGAGAAAAAAGCAGAUGGGUCUCUUCCCCUGAAUCAGGUUAAAAUGGUCCUGCCUGUCAAGAAAGCAUCGCUUUGAAGAAUUCAUUAUUCACCCCAAAAGAGGCAUCUGUAAUCAAUGUUGCUCCUUUCUAUUUCCCACACCACAACCACCACCUCUAAUCAGAUGAGGAAGAAAUUGAGAAGUAAUUGCAAGGUGAUUCCAAACUGCAUUGGAAAUGUAACUUGGGAUACAGGCUACCCAGACUGGAGUCCACUUCCUAAUUGGUAUGUUUGAAGCAAACCUACCUCAUUCAUGGCAUCAUGGGCAAAGGCUUCAGUAAGGACUUAACUGGGAGACCUUUUAAUCUGUUCUGCCUCCAAGAAAAGAAUCUCAAAGAGACCAAGCCCCCCUCAGAGACAUAAUAACGUCAGUCAGUCCCUAACCCAUCUCUGCAGCUCUAGUUAAUGGCUGUGGCUCAAGUUACAAAGUUGCUCAGCUAUGUUUGUUGGACUCAUUUGAUUUCCAAGCUUCUCUCAUUAUUUUCUUUACAAACCCCUUUUGUAUUUUUUCCCUUGUGGGUCUCAUGCUUUGAAGAACUUAGCUUAUUAAACAAAC